This 250-nucleotide ribosomal RNA is filed under the name uncultured bacterium. Its description in RNAcentral is "partial 16S ribosomal RNA". It matches the Rfam family "Bacterial small subunit ribosomal RNA", at positions 28 to 274 of the family's 1533-position model. The record is from RNAcentral.
GACGAACGCUGGCGGCGUGCUUAACACAUGCAAGUCGAGCGGUAAGGCCCUUUCGGGGGUACGACGAGCGGCGAACGGGUGAGUAACACGUGGGUGACCUGCCCUUACGCUCUGGGAGUAAGCCUGGGAAACGUAGGGUCGUAAUACCGGAUAUGACUCCAUAACGCAUGUUGUGGGGUGGAAAGCCUUGUGCGGCUAGGGAUGGGCCCGCGGCCUAUCAGCUUGUUGGUGGGGUGAUGGCCACCAAGGC